This 1191-nucleotide ribosomal RNA is filed under the name Aspergillus oryzae. Its description in RNAcentral is "partial 18S ribosomal RNA". The stretch from base 554 to 1191 matches the Rfam family "Eukaryotic large subunit ribosomal RNA", at positions 1 to 654 of the family's 3401-position model. Lineage: Eukaryota; Fungi; Ascomycota; Eurotiomycetes; Eurotiales; Aspergillaceae. The record is from RNAcentral.
AAGUCGUAACAAGGUUUCCGUAGGUGAACCUGCGGAAGGAUCAUUACCGAGUGUAGGGUUCCUAGCGAGCCCAACCUCCCACCCGUGUUUACUGUACCUUAGUUGCUUCGGCGGGCCCGCCAUUCAUGGCCGCCGGGGGCUCUCAGCCCCGGGCCCGCGCCCGCCGGAGACACCACGAACUCUGUCUGAUCUAGUGAAGUCUGAGUUGAUUGUAUCGCAAUCAGUUAAAACUUUCAACAAUGGAUCUCUUGGUUCCGGCAUCGAUGAAGAACGCAGCGAAAUGCGAUAACUAGUGUGAAUUGCAGAAUUCCGUGAAUCAUCGAGUCUUUGAACGCACAUUGCGCCCCCUGGUAUUCCGGGGGGCAUGCCUGUCCGAGCGUCAUUGCUGCCCAUCAAGCACGGCUUGUGUGUUGGGUCGUCGUCCCUCUCCGGGGGGGACGGGCCCCAAAGGCAGCGGCGGCACCGCGUCCGAUCCUCGAGCGUAUGGGGCUUUGUCACCCGCUCUGUAGGCCCGGCCGGCGCUUGCCGAACGCAAAUCAAUCUUUUUCCAGGUUGACCUCGGAUCAGGUAGGGAUACCCGCUGAACUUAAGCAUAUCAAUAAGCGGAGGAAAAGAAACCAACCGGGAUUGCCUCAGUAACGGCGAGUGAAGCGGCAAGAGCUCAAAUUUGAAAGCUGGCUCCUUCGGGGUCCGCAUUGUAAUUUGCAGAGGAUGCUUCGGGUGCGGCCCCUGUCUAAGUGCCCUGGAACGGGCCGUCAGAGAGGGUGAGAAUCCCGUCUGGGAUGGGGUGUCCGCGCCCGUGUGAAGCUCCUUCGACGAGUCGAGUUGUUUGGGAAUGCAGCUCUAAAUGGGUGGUAAAUUUCAUCUAAAGCUAAAUACUGGCCGGAGACCGAUAGCGCACAAGUAGAGUGAUCGAAAGAUGAAAAGCACUUUGAAAAGAGAGUUAAAAAGCACGUGAAAUUGUUGAAAGGGAAGCGCUUGCGACCAGACUCGCCUCCAGGGUUCAGCCGGCAUUCGUGCCGGUGUACUUCCCUGGGGGCGGGCCAGCGUCGGUUUGGGCGGCCGGUCAAAGGCUCCCGGAAUGUAGUGCCCUCCGGGGCACCUUAUAGCCGGGAGUGCAAUGCGGCCAGCCUGGACCGAGGAACGCGCUUCGGCACGGACGCUGGCAUAAUGGUCGUAAACGACCCGUGU